GACGAACGCUGGCGGCGUGCCUAACACAUGCAAGUCGAACGGAAAGGCCCUGCCUUUGUGGGGUGCUCGAGUGGCGAGCGGGUGAGUAACACGUGCGUAAACUGUCCUUGACUUUGGGAUAACUUCAGGAAACUUGGGCUAAUACCGGAUAGGAGCUCCUGCUGCAUGGUGGGGGAUGGAAAGCUGCGGCGGUUGGGGCUGGUCGCGGGGCUUAUCAGCUUGUUGGUGGGGUAGUCGCAUCCCAAGGGAUUGACGGGUAGCCGGCCUGGGAGGGGGAACGGGCACAUUACGACUGCGGUACGGCGCAGACGCCAACGGGAGGCAACAGUGGGGAGUAUUGCACAGUGAGCGGGAGCGUGGUACAGCGGCGUUGGGUGCGGGAUGAGGGCCUUCGCGGUGUGAACCGCUUUCGUCUGAUACGGGGCGGUAGUGACGGUAAUGGGUAAAGAAGCACCGGCUAACUACGUG
Molecule: ribosomal RNA, 468 nt
Filed under: uncultured bacterium
Lineage: Bacteria
Description: partial 16S ribosomal RNA
Rfam family: Bacterial small subunit ribosomal RNA
Source: RNAcentral